UACAGUCAUAUCAUGUUGAAAUACUGAUUCUUGUAUGAUCACUGAAGUUAAGCAACAUUGAGCUUGGUCAGUACCAAGAUGGGUGACUGCUUGGGAAUACUAGGUGCUGUAAG
Molecule: non-coding RNA, 113 nt
Organism: Acanthosepion pharaonis
Lineage: Eukaryota; Metazoa; Mollusca; Cephalopoda; Sepiida; Sepiidae
Source: the annotation of a GenBank genome assembly